AGGUGAGAAGAAAGAGUUUCGAUUGACUUUGGCGAAGAUUGUACAAGUAAUCGAAAGUGAGAUCAAAUCCAUCGAUCCAUUCACGGGAUCACUCCCGGGUCAGUGAAAAAGGAACUCCUCUCUUUUCUCUUUUUCUCUUUUUCUAGUCACUCGAGUGGCAAGUUGCUAUGGCCAGUGCUCUUGGUGUCAGGGUUGGAGACGUCGCUGGUCGAGAUUUGGAGUUCUCCUUCAUCCUCGAUCUCGAUUCUUUCGUUCUGCAGCGAUCGAUCCAGCUAAAGAUCAAACGAUACGAUAGGAGAGAAAAACCAAAAGAGUGUACCUGCGAUUCUUUGAGUGACGAGAAUAAUGUGAUCGCUGUCGCAGCUGCUAUUCCAAAGACUGGCGCGAUGGCUUUGGCCAUGUCCAUGUCUGCUUGUUUCUGUUCAAGCGGUGACCUUAUCAUCCUGGAUUUUGAGUAUCGAUCGAUAACUUAACGGGAAGAAGAUACCUUUCUCGACUGACUGGAAAUGCCCAAAACACGAGCUCGAUCGAUCGAUGAGCGACGAGACUUAUGAUUCGACUCCACAAGAGUCCCCUUAUUUGCUUGCAGGAGAGAGAAACAAUGAAAUCCAGCACGUACAAGAGAAGUGUUUUUCAGUUUAGUCGGGCUUUAUAUAUACAAGCGCGGGCCGACUUGAAGGGUGAAUGAGACGAGGCCACCUGUGCAUCUGCGAUGCUGACACGUGUUUGAUAUUUAUGCGGCUACUGGGGAAGAUUCUUCUACCACCGUUUUGAACAUGUCAAACGCAGAGAAAAACAAAACAGCUAAUAUUUUAACAUUAGAGCAAUUAAAAUCUAGGAAGUUAUACUUUGAUUGUUUUACUUUGGGCAGCAUUGUCUAAAUAGCACAGUAGUGUUCUUAUCCCAAGAUAUACUAAGAACACGAGGAAUACAAUGAGAAACAAAAAGUGUUUUUAUAAUAUUUUAGAGGAACUCAAGAGGAAUUAGAUUCCCUACCAUUCUAGGAGUGCAAAAGCACAUUUUCACUGGAAGGUACAAUUUUGAAUAGAAUAAACUUUCUAGACAUAUUGUGAGUAAUGUCAAAUCAAGAAUCAAUUUUUGUUGCCAAUGGACAGCUACUCUAAAGUACUUUUAAAAGACCGUGAACCUAACUUCGCAAUACAGAGUCCAGAUGUGUUUGAUAGGAUUUUUCAUAUUAUAAGAGGAGUUAGUAAGGGGAUCAAUUUGAGCAGGGAUAUUUUUGCCGGUAAUGUUCCAAGCUGAACCAGGUUUUAACUCUACGACGCAUCAAAUAUAUUCAAGUGGGCAAUGGUCGUGAUGUAGGACUAUCAAUAUUUGAGGCCCAAGUGGCAAACGGGAACGGUGAACAGACUUUAAGCAGGGCUUAGGCCAACCGCUUUGAUUUCUUCCUAAUGUUGUCCUUCUACAGUACAUGAUAUUACUUCAGCACCAUAUUUCCAACUGAUCAACUACUGCGAAGCCAAACCUGAUUGGAGUGCAGUAUCAGGCUGUGCUGCCCUGACAAAAGACCUCUCAAGUCCACUGAGUGCUAGUACAAGAAAACAUAUACUGUAACAAUGACUACCUGAGAAAGGGGAAACCACUUAGGGUGGAGGUCUGGACUCGAUCGUGGUUUCCGUAUGGACUUCAUUGCCGUGCAGCUAUAGCUCGCCUCUGUUCUUCACAUUCUCUUUGGGCUCCAAAGUUCACUACUAUGGACGUACCAUCUUUCAAAGGGGUGCCGAGUACAGCCAAGUACAGAGCUACAGGUUGCGAAUUCGUGGUGAGGCACCCUGAUAGCUAUAGGCUCUACUCAAGAAGUUACUUUGUCAAAGGCUUCGAGCUGAUGAUCCUGCUCGUCAUAUACAGCGUUUAUGAAUCGCGGUGAGUUUUGAGAUCGCUCCGCCGUGAGUAGCUCCGCUCUGAGCCGGAUACAUAACAGGCUCCAGAAUGCCGUGCUUCGAUCUAGCGGAGGAAUCAACGGGCUUUCGGCUUGAAUCAGCUCGUCCGACGGCGAAGUCCGCGCCGCCAACAAUGUUCUUGCGUCGAGACUCGUGGGAUGAUAAUUGGUGACAACGCAAAGAAGGAUGGCAGUCACAGGAGUCGAUCACUCUCGGAGUUUUAGAGGUUUUUUUCGUUUUGGCUGGAAGAUGUCGUGUACAGGCAUGGAUGGAGGAAGAAUAAGGAAGAAUUAAACAAGACUUUGCCGUUCUUCAAGAGGUAACGAGGAAAGAAAGAAUUAGAGCAGAGAGAAGUUGUGACACGUCUUCGACCAGGUGUGUUGUCGUAAUGUUCUUGGGGUAACUUCCGACACAAAAAAGGUACUAAAAGAAAAAGCUUUUAAAGGCUGUUGUCUCUAAAGUAAGGUGAGAAGAAAGAGUUUCGAUUGACUUUGGCGAAGAUUGUACAAGAAAAAGUAAUCGAAAGUGAGAUAAAAAUCCAUCGAUCCAUUCACGGGAUCACUCCCCGGUCAGUGAAAAAAUAACUGCUCUCUUUUUCUCUUUUCUUGUCACUGGAGAGGCAAGUUGCUGUGCCCAGUGGUCUUGGUGUCUGGAUUGGAGACGUCGCUGGUCGAGAUUUGGAGCUCUCCUUCAUCCUCGAUCUCGAUUCUUUCGUUCUGCAGCAAUCGAUCCAGCUAAUGAUCAAUCAAAAGAGGAGAGAAAAACCAAAAGAGUGUACCUGCGAUUCUUUGAGUGUCGAGAAUAACGUGAUCGCUGUCGCAGCUGCUAUUCCAAAGACUGGCGCGAGGGCUUUGGCCAUAUCCAUGUCUGCUUGUUUCCGUUCAAGCGGUGACCUUCCCAUCCUUGAUUUUGAGUAUCGAUAGAGAACUUAACGGGAAGAAUGCAAAGGACUCUACCUUUCUCGACUGACUGGAAAUACCCAAAACACGUGCCGAGAUUUAUGAUUCGACUCCACAAAAAUCCCCUUCUUUGCUUGCUAGGAAAGAAAAAAAAUGAAUCCCACCAGCGCGUACAAGGGAAGUGUCCUUCAGUUUAGUCGGGCUUAUAUACAAGGGCG
Molecule: long non-coding RNA, 3018 nt
Filed under: Selaginella moellendorffii
Lineage: Eukaryota; Viridiplantae; Streptophyta; Lycopodiopsida; Selaginellales; Selaginellaceae
Description: long non-coding RNA (SMOE_LNC001761)
Source: RNAcentral